Molecule: non-coding RNA, 73 nt
Organism: Ameiurus melas (black bullhead)
Lineage: Eukaryota; Metazoa; Chordata; Actinopteri; Siluriformes; Ictaluridae
Source: the annotation of a GenBank genome assembly
GGCACAGUGGCUUAGUGGUUAGUAUGUUUGCCUCGACCCUCCAUGGUUGAGGGUUCGAAUCCUGCCUCUGCCC